RNAcentral lists this ribosomal RNA (497 nucleotides) under uncultured bacterium. RNAcentral's name for it is "partial 16S ribosomal RNA". It matches the Rfam family "Bacterial small subunit ribosomal RNA", at positions 28 to 507 of the family's 1533-position model. The record is from RNAcentral.
GACGAACGCUGGCGGCGUGCCUAAUACAUGCAAGUUGAGCGCUGAAGGUUGGUACUUGUACCAACUGGAUGAGCAGCGAACGGGUGAGUAACGCGUGGGGAAUCUGCCUUUGAGCGGGGGACAACAUUUGGAAACGAAUGCUAAUACCGCAUAAAAACUUUAAACACAAGUUUUAAGUUUGAAAGAUGCAAUUGCAUCACUCAAAGAUGAUCCCGCGUUGUAUUAGCUAGUUGGUGAGGUAAAGGCUCACCAAGGCGAUGAUACAUAGCCGACCUGAGAGGGUGAGCGGCCACAUUGGGACUGAGACACGGCCCAAACUCCUACGGGAGGCAGCAGUAGGGAAUCUUCGGCAAUGGACGAAAGACUGACCGAGCAACGCCGCGUGAGUGAAGAAGGUUGUCGGAUCGUAAAACUCUGUUGGUAGAGAAGAACGUUGGUGAGAGUGGAAAGCUCAUCAAGUGACGGUAACUACCCAGAAAGGGACGGCUAACUACGUG